This 465-nucleotide ribosomal RNA is filed under the name uncultured bacterium. RNAcentral describes it as "partial 16S ribosomal RNA". It matches the Rfam family "Bacterial small subunit ribosomal RNA", at positions 28 to 506 of the family's 1533-position model. The record is from RNAcentral.
GACGAACGCUGGCGGUGUGCUUAACACAUGCAAGUCGAACGGUAAGGCCCUUUCGGGGGUCCACGAGUGGCGAACGGGUGAGUAACACGUGAGUAACCUGCCCUCAUCUCUGGGAUAACAGUCGGAAACGGUUGCUAAUACUGGAUAUGAGCUUGCAAGGCAUCUUGUGGGUUGGAAAGAUUUUUUUGGUUGGGGAUGGACUCGCGGCCUAUCAGCUUGUUGGUGAGGUAGUGGCUCACCAAGGCUUCGACGGGUAGCCGGCCUGAGAGGGCGACCGGCCACAUUGGGACUGAGAUACGGCCCAAACUCCUACGGGAGGCAGCAGUGGGGAAUAUUGCACAAUGGACGGAAGUCUGAUGCAGCAACGCCGCGUGCGGGAUGACGGCCUUCGGGUUGUAAACCGCUUUCAAUUGUGACGAAGCUUUUUGUGACGGUAGCAGUAGAAGAAGCACCGGCUAACUACGU